UACGUAGGGGGCAAGCGUUAUCCGGAUUUACUGGGUGUAAAGGGAGCGUAGACGGCAGCGCAAGUCUGGAGUGAAAUGCCGGGGCCCAACCCCGGAACUGCUCUGGAAACUGUGAAGCUGGAGUGCAGGAGAGGUAAGCGGAAUUCCUGGUGUAGCGGUGAAAUGCGUAGAUAUCACACAGAACACCGAUUGCGAAGGCAUCUGACGAAUCGGAGAUUGACGCUGAUGCACGAAAGCGUGGGUAUCGAACAGG
Molecule: ribosomal RNA, 253 nt
Filed under: uncultured Eubacteriales bacterium
Lineage: Bacteria; Bacillati; Bacillota; Clostridia; Eubacteriales
Description: uncultured Clostridiales bacterium partial 16S ribosomal RNA
Rfam family: Bacterial small subunit ribosomal RNA
Source: RNAcentral